UAUUUCAGCAGCAUCUCCUUGAGGAGGUCAUAGGUAACCAUCUCUCCGCAGUUCACGAUGGCGUUGCGGGUGAUGUUGGGUAACGUCCCUGAGGCAAAAGACGCAAAGGAUGAAUGGUUUAGAGAGUGACUCUGACCCUACGAGAUCACACUGCUCUUCUGAAAGCAGAGUAGGGCUGGUGAUGACCAUGACUGUAUUAUUAUUAAUCGUGUUUAUUACACCUGUGCCUAAAGGAGCUCUGCUAGGUAACAGGAGUUCUAUGAUACCAGGAUUUUAAGGGAUAAUAAGAAUAAUACUUGCCAUUACAUGGCAUUAUUUAUCCACAGCGGUCAAAGCACUUUACAAAAGUGGCCAAGACUCAUUAUCCCCAUUAUACAGCUGGGGAGAGAGAAGUCCAGAGUUGCACAGCAAUUCAAUGGCAGAGCAAGCAAUGGAACCUGAGAGCCCUUGACUCAGUGCUGGGCUCGGAUAGUUGGAUCACCAUUCCAUCUCGAGCACACAAGGAAAUGGGGAGAGAGUAAGUGAUGAGGCAAACCUGUUUAUUGCAGGUCUGUGGGCUCGCCAUGAACCUUACUUCUGUGAUGCAAGAGGAAAAAGGACAUUCACCCUUGCCCUGGAUGGGAUGUGUCCCCCAUCCAUCGCAGGCAUCCACAGUCCCGCUGUAUUUCUUGGUUCCCUCCGUCAGCCUCACUUGGGCUUGGAAUCGCACCUUGACCACGUCGGUCGGCUGGGCACACGUGACUGCCAUGGCUCCGGUGGUGCAGCCAGCCAGCAACCGGGCUUGGACUCUCCCUGGAUCUUCAAGACGGACAGACAGACAUCAUUAUUAGCAGAUGGCAAUUCACCUCUAGUGCAGCCAGCUAGAUCCUGCUCCUGAAACCUUUAUUCAUGUGAGUAGUUCAAGUAAAGUCAUCCAUGAGUAAGGGUUUGCAGAGAUGGGCCCAUUAGCUAGGAGAGUUCAUAAGCUGUAAGCUCAGUUCAUGGUAGUUUGGGGCAUGUACUGAGCUAGGAAGGUAUUAAAUUGUCAUUUAUAUAUGCAUUCAACCUGCAGUUGCGUUUUUGAUCAGUGAACUAGUUGCAAGGCUAUAAUUGUCAUACAUUUACACAUCAGAUUCCAUCCAGCUGGAUACCAAAGCACUUUGCAAAAGGACUGUGCAAGCGAUAUACCGUCGUCAUCUCUUUGCUCACCACUGAAAUGCAGCCACCUCUGGGGUAGAGUGUGGCAGCUGUUUAUCAGUCUACAGCAACGUUACAGGCCAAAUCAAGUCAGGAACUGAAGAGGCCUACCGUAUCCAGCUGAAAAUGGUGGAGCACAUAAGUAGCCUAGAUGUAAUUAUCAAUGAUGGAAUUUGGCCAGAAUGCCAGAGUGAUGGUGGGAGGCUAAAUUAAUUCAUGUUCGUAAAGUGCUUUGAGAUCAGAUAGAAAAUGUUCUCCAAUAUCAAUGCAAAGAGGGUGAAAUUCACCCUGGUGCAGGGGGACAACACAAGGCCUAGGUACCAUUUCAGAUCCACUUUGAGGGCUUGGGGCAGAUCCUCAGCUGGGGUAAACUCUCACAGGCUCAUUGACUUCCAAGUGACAGUCUACCCCGGCUGAGGUUCUGCUCUCUUAAGUGGUCCCUAGCUCUUGUGCUGGGGCCUCUGCAUGGGGUGGAUUUCACUCAGAACUAUAGUCAAGUCAUGUCUGUAAAAAAAGUUAUCCGUGGUUUCCGUUAAUCACAUUACAGCAGAAAAACAACCUGGACUUGCUGAGAAGAAUACUACGGAGACGUCUCUAGGCACCCACAGAUUUGCAGGGUACACAACAAACAUCAUCUGAAAUCAAACCAGAUAUGUUAGAGCCUGAUCCAACUCCCGCUGAUGUCUUUACAUUAACUUUUAAUGGGAAUUGGAUUGACCCUUAAAGGUAACAGAUGGGAGGAAAAAAGACCUAGUCUGUUUCUCAGCAAGCGCUGGAUUUGUCCAAUGAUUUAAUAUAAAAUGCCUUUCACUCAAUUUGAGAGACCACAUGGGUCAGAGGAUUGGGACUUGGAUUGGGACUUGGGAGCGCUCGAUUCUGUGCCCAGCUCUGCUGCUGACCUGCUAUAUGACUCAGAACAAAUCUCUUUGUCUUGACUAUUUCGACUGUUGUCUCUUUGGAGCAGGAACUGUCUCCCACUACGCAUCUAUACAUUGUGCCUGACACAGCUGAGUCCCAGUAUCCUUGUACUAUAGUAAUACCAACAAGAAC
Caretta caretta (loggerhead turtle) is the source of this 2226-nucleotide long non-coding RNA. RefSeq lists it as uncharacterized. The record is from RefSeq and is a predicted model, not a curated record. NCBI's taxonomy places the organism in Eukaryota, Metazoa, Chordata, Testudines, Cheloniidae.